This 72-nucleotide transfer RNA is filed under the name Fukomys damarensis (Damara mole-rat). It matches the Rfam family "tRNA". Rfam says of the family: Transfer RNA (tRNA) molecules are approximately 80 nucleotides in length. Their secondary structure includes four short double-helical elements and three loops (D, anti-codon, and T loops). The record is from Rfam by way of RNAcentral. Lineage: Eukaryota; Metazoa; Chordata; Mammalia; Rodentia; Bathyergidae.
GGGGGUUUAGCUCAGUGGCACUGUGCCUGCCUUGUAAGCCCAAGGUCCUGAGUUCAAUCCUCAGUACCCCCC